RNAcentral lists this microRNA (21 nucleotides) under Ananas comosus (pineapple). RNAcentral's name for it is "microRNA s0061_c035". The record is from RNAcentral. Lineage: Eukaryota; Viridiplantae; Streptophyta; Magnoliopsida; Poales; Bromeliaceae.
GUGUAAAGCAUAUAUGCUUGG